UCCCUUAGUAACGGCGAGUGAACAGGGAUUAGCCCAGCACCGAAGCCUGUGGUCAUUUGACCACCAGGCAAUGUGGUGUUCAGGUCUUUUCGCAGAGGCGCUGCUCCACCCUAAGUCCAAUAAUGAGUACGGUGGUACGGACAUGGCCCAUUGAGGGUGAAAGGCCCGUGGGGGUGGAGGUCAGAAUGGACAGUGUCACUCUGGGAGGACCUUGGAGUCGGGUUGUUUGUGAAUGCAGCCCAAAGUGGGUGGUAAACUCCAUCCAAGGCUAAAUACUAACACGAGUCCGAUAGCGAACAAGUACCGUGAGGGAAAGUUGAAAAGUACUCUGAAGAGAGAGUAAACAGUGCGUGAAGCCGUUCAGAGGUAAACGGGUGGAGUUGAACUGUGAGUUUCGAGGGUUCAGCUGGUGAUUAUUGUUGGGCUUGGCCAAACUGAUUGGAUUCUGGGGUCUGUUCAGCUGCAGGUCUUUGCCUUCGGGUGAGGAUGCGCGAUACGUUCGUUGAGCGUUGUGCGCCCCAGGUGUCCCGGGUCGAGUCGCCAGUGCAUUCCCUCGUUACGGUCACCACGACCGGCACUGCUGUCUUUCUGCUAUGGUUAAACCGAUUGUGUAUUGUCCUUCGGGCUUUGUGCGGUCGGGAUGGCAGGUAGCUCGUUGGUUUGCUUGCAGGCCUUCGGGUGUAAUCAGCUGACUAUGGUUUGACUGUGCAGUGUGUCGGAGACGGCGGCUUGUGUGUGCGUGCGUGCCUGUUCUGCUGGCGUGUCUAUGUCAGGUUGCUCAGUUGCUCACGUAGUGGGCCAAGCGGCGACUGUGACGCGUGCGGUGGGCGGUUGCGUGCGUGGCACUUUAUUGGGCCAAUAGUCUGUGGUGUUGCGGUAGACUUUCCACCCGACCCGUCUUGAAACACGGACCAAGGAGAGUAACAUGUGCGCGAGUCAUUGGGCGUAACGAAACCCAAAGGCGCAGUGAAAGUAAAGGUUUGGCUUGUCCAGACUAAGGUGAGAUCCUGUCGUUUCUUACGCGCGGUACUACCAAGCAUCGAGCGGCAGGCGCAUCACCGGCCCGUCCCAUGGCCAUGGCAGUCUUGUACAGUACAGUCGGGGCGGAGCAAGAGCGUACAUGUUGAGACCCGAAAGAUGGUGAACUAUGCUUGUGCAGAUUGAAGCCAGAGGAAACUCUGGUGGAGGAUCGCAGCGAUUCUGACGUGCAAAUCGAUCGUCAGACAUGAGUAUAGGGGCGAAAGACUAAUCGAACCAUCUGGUAGCUGGUUCCCUC
RNAcentral lists this ribosomal RNA (1276 nucleotides) under Trilobovarium parvvatis. RNAcentral's name for it is "eukaryotic LSU rRNA". It matches the Rfam family "Eukaryotic large subunit ribosomal RNA", at positions 76 to 961 of the family's 3401-position model. Lineage: Eukaryota; Metazoa; Platyhelminthes; Trematoda; Plagiorchiida; Opecoelidae. The record is from RNAcentral.